CACGUAGGGUGCGAGCGUUGUCCGGAAUUAUUGGGCGUAAAGAGCUCGUAGGCGGUGUGUCACGUCGGCCGUGAAAACCUGCAGCUUAACUGUGGGCGUGCGGUCGAUACGGGCAUCACUGGAGUUCGGCAGGGGAGACUGGAAUUCCUGGUGUAGCGGUGAAAUGCGCAGAUAUCAGGAGGAACACCGGUGGCGAAGGCGGAUCUCUGGGCCAUUACUGACGCUGAGGAGCGAAAGCGUGGGGAGCGAACAGG
Molecule: ribosomal RNA, 254 nt
Filed under: uncultured bacterium
Lineage: Bacteria
Description: partial 16S ribosomal RNA
Rfam family: Bacterial small subunit ribosomal RNA
Source: RNAcentral